GGACCAUAGCUCGGUGGUAGACCAUCUGCUUUCUAUGCAGAAGGUCCUAGCUUCAAUCGCUGGGAUCUCCA
Molecule: non-coding RNA, 71 nt
Organism: Podarcis lilfordi (Lilford's wall lizard)
Lineage: Eukaryota; Metazoa; Chordata; Lepidosauria; Squamata; Lacertidae
Source: the annotation of a GenBank genome assembly